UACGAAGGGGGCUAGCGUUGUUCGGAAUUACUGGGCGUAAAGCGUGCGCAGGCGGCCUUCCAAGCCAGGGGUGAAAGCCCAGAGCUCAACUCUGGAAUUGCCUUUGAGACUGUGAGGCUUGAGUACGGGAGAGGUGAGUGGAAUUCCCAGUGUAGAGGUGAAAUUCGUAGAUAUUGGGAAGAACACCGGUGGCGAAGGCGGCUCACUGGCCCGAAACUGACGCUCAUGCACGACAGCGUGGGGAUCAAACAGG
Molecule: ribosomal RNA, 253 nt
Filed under: uncultured bacterium
Lineage: Bacteria
Description: partial 16S ribosomal RNA
Rfam family: Bacterial small subunit ribosomal RNA
Source: RNAcentral